RNAcentral lists this ribosomal RNA (253 nucleotides) under uncultured bacterium. RNAcentral's name for it is "partial 16S ribosomal RNA". It matches the Rfam family "Bacterial small subunit ribosomal RNA", at positions 524 to 776 of the family's 1533-position model. The record is from RNAcentral.
UACGUAGGGUGCAAGCGUUAAUCGGAAUUACUGGGCGUAAAGCGUGCGCAGGCGGUUCGGAAAGAAAGAUGUGAAAUCCCAGGGCUUAACCUUGGAACUGCAUUUUUAACUACCGGGCUAGAGUGUGUCAGAGGGAGGUAGAAUUCCGCGUGUAGCAGUGAAAUGCGUAGAUAUGCGGAGGAACACCGAUGGCGAAGGCAGCCUCCUGGGAUAACACUGACGCUCAUGCACGAAAGCGUGGGGAGCAAACAGG